UUUCCAUAGGUUUCCCUCAGAACUGCAAGACGCCGAUAUUGCAUUACAUUGUGGCAAAAUGGCGGCUGUCAUUCAGAAUCCACUAAAAGCGUUGGGCGACCAGUUCUAUAAGGACGCCAUCGAGCAGUGCCGCAGCUACAAUGCCCGCCUGUGCGCUGAACGCAGUGUGCGCUUGCCGUUCCUGGACUCGCAAACCGGCGUGGCCCAGAACAACUGCUACAUCUGGAUGGAACGCCAUCACCGCAGCCCAGGGGUGGCGUCCGGGCAGAUGUACACGUAUCCGGCCCGUUGCUGGAGAAAGAAGAGACGGCUCCACACCACCACUGAUCCCAGCCUGGGUAUCUUUGGUCUCCAGCUUGACAGCGGCCUCAUGUCCAAAGACACGUUGCCCACCCAGGGCACAACACUGGAAGCUCUGCUACGAGGCGAGGGUCUAGACAAGAGGAACUCUAGGAACGACGAGGAGAGUUUACUGGAGAUCCAGAGGGUUCUGGAAGCAGAUGCAGCAGAAGAUGCUUUCAACGAUGAUGACGACUUUGAGGUGGACACUCCUAAAAGAAGACACCGGGGCAAAGGAAGAGGUCGGGGUUCAGGCCGCAGGAGGGCAGAUCUAGAUGAUGAUAAGCCAUAUGUCUGUGACAACAGAUACAAACAAAGGAAUAACAACAAGUCUUCAGCCUCGGUCUAUGCGAAGCGUUACAGGAGCCGUACGGGUUUAAGUUACCACUAUACUCAUACCCACCUAGCAGAGGAGGACAGAGCUGGAGAAAGGAGCUCUGUUCCGUCCAGGUCUCCUACUGUACAGCCUACUGACCGGCACAAACGCCCAAAGGCUCCAGUCGGGACCAGGAUUCCUAAUAGCUACUGUGAGAAAUGUCAUAACGCCAAUAAGAAACUUAUGACAUCCGGGUCCCCCUGCACAACCUGCCAAUGCACAGCUGGCGGCGGAGAGGACAAGGAGGAUGGGAAUCAGGGCGGCGCAGAGGAGCUGUUUGCCACCACCUCCGAGAGCGACGCCUCCACCUUUCACGGCUUUGAGGACGACGAGAUAGAAGAGCCUACCGCAAACAGCAAUGGAUUAUCCAGCCGACACAGAUAGACAAAUAGACUUUGGUGGUUGUUUUUUUUUUUCUAAUCUGGAUUCAUCUCUACCAAGAAUCUGCUGCUUCUUCCCGCUGCCCCUUUCCUCCCCUAAGUUUUUUGUUUGCAGAAAGCACAAAGUGAUGGCUUCAGGUAAAAAAAAAAAAAAAAUGCAAGUGGUGUUUUAUCUACUGGACAUUAAUUUAUGGACUUUUUAAAAUCUAAAUAUAUCUAUUAAUUAACUUUGAAGUCAACUAAUGACUUGCAAAACUUUGAAGUUUUUCCCCUUUUUGGAGCCGAAGGAAAAUAAAUGUAGUGAACAAAAAAAGAAACACUGGAGCAAUCAUACAUUUGAACAAAUGAACCUUUUAACAUGUGGAAGCUGUUGGAAUGUCACUUCAGACCCUUUACUGGAUUCUAAUCAACCAUCCUACAGUGUGACAAUGACGUUGUUGAGCUCCAACUCUGGAUUCUACUUGUAUUCUAACAUGAAGGAACCAAUGAAUGGACUACCAAUGGAACUCUGGAGAUGAAGACGUCUAUAUAUUUUCUUUAAAUACCUGAGAAGGUUGUUCAAUGGAAGGAGCACCCAGCAGAGGAGAUAAAGACCAGUCAUCAAGAGGAUUUCACUCCUCCAAACUAACGAGCCUUUCACCCUUCCUCCUGUUUUUGGUCCUAAAUGUAACUGACAAGGAGCAGACAGACCAACAUCCGCCGCUGUCAUAGGUCAUGUGACUUCAGCCAAGCUCCCCUGAUGAUGUGAACUCACCUAUUUGGAAUAGGAGCCAUGUUCAUGGCGUCCACGGCAGAACUAUGGGAACACUAACGGGCAGGCCUUUGGAUUUUGGGGCCUGGAGAGCCCAGUAUCCCCCGCCCCCAACCAACCCCGUCCCUGCUCUGCACGCGUGUGUGUUUGUGUGUGCGGGUGUGUGUGUGUGUGUGUGCGCGCGUGCGUGCCGUAUGAUCUGAUGUGACACUAAGACGUCAUUACCCUCAUCACUGUGCCAGCCUGCCGCUCUGCACUGCAAACCAGCUCUGACAGCACACCCUCCCAACACACACGCACGCACGCACACACACACACACACACUCUGCCCCCUCAGCCAUAGAGUUGGUGCGCCGCUCCACCACUCGUACAUGCACACCUCAACUACUGAUACGGAUGCAUCUUUCUGCUUGUUGCUCUCUUGACCUCCUGGCUCUACUUGUACUAUUUGUAGGGUGUUUUUCUAGCAGUUGGGACUAGUGGGGGUGGUUGGAAGCAGACUGAUACCUCUGUCCUACUCAGGCAUCUUUCCUUCACGCUCUGCUGUUGAUUGUUCAUGCAGACCAGAAUGGUGUGAUUGUAUUGAGCUGGCAAGGAUGGACAAUAACGCCACACACGAGCCCCAUGAAGAAGCACCAACAUUACUACCAUUCCCACCAUUACUAGGAGCUUCAAACACUGCAAUCAUUUUCCUGAUGUGCUUCCAUGUGUUUGUGUGUGCAUGGACACCGUGUCUAGUGCUAUCAUUUUUAACGUUUGAUGUUGAAGGCAUCAAAAUGAAGGAUGGGCUUUUGGACAAAGUUCCUGAAUUGACUAUAUUGACAAAUUCAUAAUGAUGUCCUGCUGGACGUCUUUAGACAGAGAACCAGUUGACCGCUUCUGGUUGCAGCCGAGUAGUGCACUCCAUUUUGACUCCGUUAAUUCAACACGGGUUGAUUGUUAUGAAAUUCUGUCAAUUUUGUAGAAUCAUCUUUUAAUGGAACAUUGCAUCACUUUGUGCAGUUAACCAGUUCCACACCAAUGGAAUGCUGUUUUUGCAAGUGUGUUUUUUUUCUUGUAAUAUUACAACUAUUCUGGCUAGAUUGGGGCUUUUUUUUCCUCUUAUUGCAACAACUUUAUUCCCAUAACUGUAGACAUUUUUCUCAUAUUUUUUUUUAAUAUAAGGUGACAAUAUGACUUUAUUCUAAAUUCUAUGAUUUUUAAGUACAACUUCAAUCUUGUAAUACCAGGAUUCUUUAUUUCCUUAAACAAAACAAAAAAAUCACUUAAUUUAUAUAACUAAAGUUUUUGUAACAUGGAGAGAUUUUUUGUCAUAAUAUAAAGACUUUACCCCCAAACGUUUUUCUUAAAACCUUGCAGCUUUUUCACGCAAGUUUGUGGCAGUAUUGCACUUCAGUUUGACUUAAUUACUUCAGGACACGAUUAAUCAACGAUUCCAAUCCUCUAAACUUCUUCAUUCUUAUAAUAAAUACAUUCUUAAUUAAAUUGAGUAUUUUAAAAACAACUGUAAUCCCUUUUCCGUGAAAUAAAAAAUUUUACUUGGUGUGUAAAAACAAAUUGGCUCAAAACAGCUUUUUUUCUUGUAAUAUUACCUAAUUAAACUUUUUCUCAAAAUUUAAUAUUUUCGUUUUUAGCGAAAAUUCCUGUAACUGAGUUGUUUUCUUUCUUUUAAAUGUUACUACAGUGUUCCCUUGCUACAUCGCAGUUCACCUUUCGCAGAUUCACUGUUUCGUGGAUUUUCUUUUAAGCGCAAUUUUGCAUAUUUUUUUUUAACAGCAUAUGAACGCGCAUUGUGUUCUGCAUCCUUGUGUUCUGCAUCCUUACUACUACUACCAGUAGAGGGUGUUGUACUCAUGUUCAAGACGGUAGCCGGCUAAAUAUACUGUAGAGCAGCAACAGUCCUUGUUGGCUAAGGGAGAACCUGCCUAUUGUGGUUUGCGUCUUAAAUGGCUGUCGACCAUUGUCAAUCAACCUUCUUCGUGCCGCUUCUUGUUGUCGUCAGUAACAGCUAGCAAACUAGCUAACUGCCAGUAAACAGAAGAAGAAGAAGAAGCUAACCGACUAAAUGAAUCCUCAAGGAGGAGGAUGACGGCAGGAGCAAUAUGUUUUAACAAGGAUACAAAAACGCUACAGCCGAACGGCGCCAGGACGAGACAUGGUCAGAGUGAGCACACGUGAGUCACUUAAUUUCUUGUUUCCAACGUAGUAGAUCAUUAAAAUUCAAACAAAAUUUGAACUAUCAGCGUGUUUAGAUGAGAGAACUGUGAGGAAAAUGUUAGCCUGUCUGUGAAAAGUGUAUAACGUGUAUUGUAAGGGGUUUUACAGCCUUAAAACAUAUAAAAUAACUAAACAAAUAACGUUUGCUACUUCGCGGACUUCACUUAUUGCGGGCUGUUUUGGGAACAUAUCCCCCGCGAUAACAAAGGGAACACUAUUUUUGUUUUCAGACUGCCAUCUGACUGAAAUGGACUCAAUAGCACCUCUGCUGGUAGCAGCCAAGUAGUGCAAUUAAUAUUGCCUUAAUUGCUUCAAGUCAGAUUAAUUCCAUAGAAUCUAGGGAAUUCUUCAAAAUACAUGUAUUUUUAAAUAUGUAUUCAGAUAAGUUCCCCCGCCCAAAAAAAUACAAAUACAGUCUCUUAAAAAAAAAGGGAAAAACACUCUACAAUGACUUUAUUUCAUGUAAUAUGACUUUGCUGUCACAGAACAGAUUCAUGAUAAAUGAAGUAUUAUGCCCAUUCCUAAUCCAAAUGCCUUCAUAUGUUCGUUACAGAUAAUAGUGUCUUCUUCCUUCCAUGUUCAACCCAUCUUUCUUCACUUCCCUCAGGGACCCUCCUCACAGCCGCUUUGCUCCAACUCGGUAUCACGUCUUAGCUUAUAUCCGUUAAGUAUUCCCACUGUUUCAGUGUGCAUUCAUCCAGUAAGCAGACAGCCAUCAUGCACAACCUGCUGUACGUGUAGAGGCUUACAAUUUGUUGUCCUCAACGCAACUCCUGAAUGCAAAAGUCAUCUUUACCUCCACCAACAAUACAGCAAUAGUUCCCCUCGGUGCUCUGUGAAGGCCGGUGAUGGAGGUGUGUGCGUGUGUGUGUGCGUGUGUGCGUUAUCAGUUUGGGAAUGGAGCCAAGAGGAGAUGAAAUGAACUUGUGUGCUUUAUUUCAUCUUCCGCUGUAAAUACAUGUCAAAAUCGAGAAAAUGAAGUUCUUUGUUAAAGUAUUUUUAUUCUGGAAAAAAUAAAAAAAAAAAGUGAUAGCAUUGUGUCGUAUUUUCUAGCAUUGCAUUCAGAUUCUUAGAAGCAGACAGUGCUGCACUUUUAUUGAACUACUUUUUUAAGAAAACUGGCCUGUUGGUAAUAAACGCCUCGAUACAAUUCCCAGAAGGCACUGCACUGACUUUAGGUGUCACUUAGCUUUUUUUCGCCCUCCCGUUGGUCGUUAACUCAGUCAUUAGUGCACAUGUAGCUUGUUAAAAUCAUAUUUUAGAUAUGUUUUAUGUUCAAACUGGUGAUGAAUUGAGAAUCAGAACAGUUGCCAUGUUUGCCUAUCAAGCAAAAAACCUUUCAAACAGGAAGUACGAUGGCUUUUAAGAGACAAAAGGCAUUUGGUGAAGCGCUAUUCACAUUUCCUCUCAUUUUGACUGUAUUGCUGCUAAGCACUAAAACAAUAAAUGACAACUCUAUCCACCCUGUUUCUGUUUCUAGCUUCUGGAAGGCCUCAUUGGUGGCAUCAUAAACAUAACUCCAAUAGCACCCUCUUUCGAGACAAGACAUUCUUAUAAUGGUAACGAGAGCAAGGUUGUUAAGUGACACUUUAAAAAAAAAAAAAAAAAAAGUAAGUUAGCACGUUCCCCGUGAACGUGACAGCCAUCGGUUUCCCUGUGGGACAAAAACGAGCUCCGAACAAACCGCAUUGCUUGUUUGUUUUAAACACAAAAUGUCAUUGUGGUAUAAAAAAAAAAAUUUUAAGUCACAUUUGGGGUC
Dunckerocampus dactyliophorus (ringed pipefish) is the source of this 5822-nucleotide RNA transcript. It is a transcript of the gene named zinc finger protein DPF3-like, with no coding region annotated. The transcript is spliced from 11 exons. The record is from RefSeq and is a predicted model, not a curated record. Lineage: Eukaryota; Metazoa; Chordata; Actinopteri; Syngnathiformes; Syngnathidae.